This 649-nucleotide ribosomal RNA is filed under the name uncultured archaeon. RNAcentral describes it as "bacterial SSU rRNA". It matches the Rfam family "Archaeal small subunit ribosomal RNA", at positions 156 to 804 of the family's 1478-position model. The record is from RNAcentral.
UAGGUUUAGGGCACUGGAAGGUCCCUAAACCGAAAGGGGCUCUGCCCGCCCGAGGAUGGGCCGGCGGCCGAUUAGGUAGUUGGUGGGGUAACGGCCCACCAAGCCCAUAAUCGGUACGGGCAGUGAGAGCUGGAGCCCGGAGAUGGACACUGAGACACGGGUCCAGGCCCUACGGGGCGCAGCAGGCGCGAAACCUCCGCAAUGCUCGAAAGAGCGACGGGGGGACCCCAAGUGCCGUGGUACAACCACGGCUUUUCCGGAGUGUAAGAAGCUCCGGGAAUAAGGGCUGGGCAAGGCCGGUGGCAGCCGCCGCGGUAAUACCGGCGGCCCGAGUGGUGGCCACUAUUAUUGGGCCUAAAGCGUCCGUAGCCGGGCUUGUAAGUCCCUGGCGAAAUCCCACGGCUCAACCGUGGGGCUUGCUGGGGAUACUGCAAGCCUUGGGACCGGGAGAGGCCGGGGGUACUCCUGGGGUAGGGGUGAAAUCCUAUAAUCCCAGGAGGACCGCCAGUGGCGAAGGCGCCCGGCUGGAACGGGUCCGACGGUGAGGGACGAAGGCCAGGGGAGCAAACCGGAUUAGAUACCCGGGUAGUCCUGGCUGUAAAGGAUGCGGGCUAGGUGUUGCUUGGACCUCGAGUCCAAGCAGUGCCGC